Molecule: ribosomal RNA, 468 nt
Filed under: uncultured bacterium
Lineage: Bacteria
Description: partial 16S ribosomal RNA
Rfam family: Bacterial small subunit ribosomal RNA
Source: RNAcentral
GACGAACGCUGGCGGCGUGCUUAACACAUGCAAGUCGAACGGAAAGGCCCUGCUUUUGUGGGGUGCUCGAGUGGCGAACGGGUGAGUAACACGUGAGUAACCUGCCCUUGACUUUGGGAUAACUUCAGGAAACUGGGGCUAAUACCGGAUAGGAGCUCCUGCUGCAUGGUGGGGGUUGGUAAGUUUCGGCCGUUGGGGAUGGACUCGCGGCUUAUCAGCUUGUUGGUGGGGUAGUGGCUUACCAAGGCUUUGACGGGUAGCCGGCCUGAGAGGGUGACCGGCCACAUUGGGACUGAGAUACGGACCAGACUCCUACGGGAGGCAGCAGUGGGGAGUAUUGCACAGUGGGCGGAAGCCUGAUGCAGAAACGCCGCGUGCGGGAUGACGGCCUUCGGGUUAUAAACCGCUUUCGCCUGUGACGAAGCGUGAGUGACGGUAAUGAGUAAAGAAGCACCGGCUAACUACGUG